AUGCUUGCUUUGUCAGCACAUGCACUAAUACUGGAAUGAGACAGAGAAGAUUAGUACAGCCCCUGUGCAAGGAGAUACACGACAAAACGGAAACUAGAGAGAAGUAC
This is a small nuclear RNA of Tupaia belangeri (northern tree shrew), 107 nucleotides long. The record is from Ensembl. NCBI's taxonomy places the organism in Eukaryota, Metazoa, Chordata, Mammalia, Scandentia, Tupaiidae.